ACGCUCGACACCUACGAGAGGCAGCAGUGAGGAAUAUUGGUCAAUGGGCGCUAGCCUGAACCAGCCAAGUAGCGUGAAGGAUGAAGGCUCUAUGGGUCGUAAACUUCUUUUAUAUAAGAAUAAAGUGCAGUAUGUAUACUGUUUUGUAUGUAUUAUAUGAAUAAGGAUCGGCUAACUCCGUGCAAGCAGCCGCGGUAAUCUGAGCGGGCUGGCAAGGC
RNAcentral lists this ribosomal RNA (218 nucleotides) under uncultured bacterium. RNAcentral describes it as "partial 16S ribosomal RNA". It matches the Rfam family "Bacterial small subunit ribosomal RNA", at positions 328 to 539 of the family's 1533-position model. The record is from RNAcentral.